AAUAAUUAUUCUUUUUCCUUUUUUGAGAGAGAGAAAAAAGGGAGACAGAGGGCACAAGUGAGCAAGGGAUAGAGAGAGAGAAGGAGAGAGAGAGAGAGAGAGAAGUGGAGCUCACCUGAAGCAGGACCAGAGCUCACGAAUCACGAGAUCAUGACCUGAGCCGAAACCGAGUUGGACGCUUAACCAACUAAAUCACGUAGGCACCCCAAGAUUUAUGAAAUUCUUAUCUUUUCUUUCCAUAAUGCUUAUAUGGGUCUUCAUCUUGAACCUAGGGUCUGUGAAAUAAAGUAAAUUUUACUUCUUUUGAUUAUCUUCCUUUUGAAGCCUACAGACAUGGUGAAUACUCAAGUGUCCAGGGGAAAUUAUGUUUUGGUUGUUACAAGUCUGAGUUCUAUCAGUAGAAUAUGAGAUAUGUUGAUAUUCUCUGUCCUCAGUACGUUUUCUGAGUGCUACUUUACCAAAACUGGUCUCUAGGAAUUGUGUUAUGAGAUGGGUCCUGAUUGCAAAGGAUUUAAUCUCUAUCACAGACUAAAAUCUUACAUAACUUGGAAAUGCCAGGUUAAGUCAAACUGGUGUUCAAGGCCGUAUUUCCUCCUUUCUAAGUUCUCGAGUUAGGAAUCAUUUUUCCUGCUUAGAUUCUGCAUGAACUUGGACAAAUAUGUGAGAAACAUCUCUUGUCAGCCUUGUGGGUUCCGGUUCCUUUAUUUUCCAUCUCGUUCGCCCUCUGCUGGUUUUUCAGAAGAAGAACAUGGCUAACGUGUGAAGAAUGGAUUAGAAGAAGUCGAGAAUGUAACAAGGUGGGACCACCCCGGAGAACUGCGUCCAGGAGGAUGAGCAGGGCUCUGGAGAAGAACAUGGGGUAGAUGCACUGGCAUGGAAGAAUAUACAUUCAGAUAAAUGGAAUAGAAUGGGACGGAGGGAUACAAGGUAAAGAAGAGGAAUUGACUGGUGGAGCAAGCACUUGGUGGAGUCCAAAGAGGAUGCGCUCUAGUUCAAGCCAGCACAGGAAGUGGAUCUCGGGGACGAGAACGGAUUAUUCAAAGACAGCGAGGCAUGACCACGUGUGGUGUUUGGAAGGCUUCAAGAAGGUAGACGCGGCUGAAGUACAGUGA
Molecule: long non-coding RNA, 1112 nt
Filed under: Felis catus (domestic cat)
Lineage: Eukaryota; Metazoa; Chordata; Mammalia; Carnivora; Felidae
Description: lncRNA (ENSFCAG00000041769.2)
Source: RNAcentral